CCCUAAGGCGAGGCCGAAAGGCGUAGCCGAUGGGAAGCGGGUCAACAUUCCCGCGCCAGUCGGGUGGAGACCGGGUCGUGACGCAGGAGGCUAGGCCGGGCCCGCAAUGGAUGCGGGUGCAAGGUAGUAGGGGGACGGGACAGGCAAAUCCGUCCCGUCAUACCCCGAGAGCCGAUGCCGUAAGCCGGCCGACGCCACACUGCCAAGAAACAACGGCACGGUCUGUGAGGCCCGACUGCCCGUACCGGAAACCGACACAGGUGGGCUGGGUUAGGAGCCUAAGGCGUCGGGGGAACUCUCCUCAAGGAACUCGGCAAGUUGGCCCCGUACCUUCGGAAGAAGGGGUGCCCGUGGGGGUGUAGGCCCUCGCGGCCGAAGCCCCCGCGGGUCGCAGUGACAGGGCGGUGCCGACUGUUUACCAAAAACACAGCACUCCGCAAACCCGUAAGGGGAUGUAUGGGGUGUGAAGCCUGGCCAGUGCCCGUAGGUGAACCCCCCGGGUGAUAAGCUCGGGGGUUAAGCCCGGGUAAACGCCGGCCGUAACUAUGACGGUCCUAAGGUAGCGAAAUUCCUUGUCGGGUAAGUUCCGACCUGCAUGAAUGGCCCAACGAGUGCCGCACUGUCUCGAGGAGAGUCCCGCCGAAAUUGGAUUGCCGGUAAAGAUACCGGCUACCCGCGGCAGGACGGAAAGACCCCGUGAAGCUUCACUGCAGCCUGGCAUUGGAGCCCGGCCUGUCCUGCGCAGAAUAGGUGGGAGCCUGGGAAGCCCCCGCUCCGGCGGGGGUGGAGGCGCCAGUGAGAUACCACCCUGGGCAGGUUGGGCUCCUAACCUAGCCGCGUGAAUCCGCGGCGGGGACAGUGCCAGGUGGGCAGUUUAGCUGGGGCGGCUGCCUCCUAAAAGGUAACGGAGGCGCCCAAAGGUCCCCUCAGGCGGGUCGGAAAUCCGCCGUUAGAGUGCAAGGGCAGAAGGGGGCCUGACUGCGAGGCCGACGGGCCGAGCAGAGGCGAAAGCCGGGCCUAGUGACCCACCCGUUCCUCGUGGGAGGGCGGGUGAUCAGCGGAUAAAAGCUACUCCGGGGAUAACAGGCUAAUCGCCCCCGAGAGCCCACAUCGACGGGGCGGUUUGGUACCUCGAUGUCGGCUCCCCCCAUCCUGGGGCUGAAGCAGGUCCCAAGGGUUGGGCUGUUCGCCCAUUAAAGGGGGACGCGAGCUGGGUUCAGAACGUCGCGAGACAGUUCGGUCCCUAUCCGCCGCGGGCGCAGGAGACUUGAGGGGGUGCGCCCCUAGUACGAGAGGACCGGGGCGCGGCAGGCACUGGUGUACCGGUUGUCCCAUGCCUGGGGCAGCGCCGGGUAGCCAUCCUGCUACGGGAUAAGCCCUGAAAGCAUCUAAGGGCGAAGCCUACCCCAAGAUAAGGUCUCCCUGAAGGGCUCCGGGAGACUACCGGGUUGAUAGGCCGCAGGUGGAAGCCCUGUAAGGGGUGAAGCCGAGCGGUACUAAUAGCCCGUUCGGCUUGCCCA
RNAcentral lists this ribosomal RNA (1520 nucleotides) under metagenome. RNAcentral's name for it is "bacterial LSU rRNA". It matches the Rfam family "Bacterial large subunit ribosomal RNA", at positions 1389 to 2925 of the family's 2925-position model. The record is from RNAcentral.